This 465-nucleotide ribosomal RNA is filed under the name uncultured bacterium. RNAcentral describes it as "partial 16S ribosomal RNA". It matches the Rfam family "Bacterial small subunit ribosomal RNA", at positions 28 to 507 of the family's 1533-position model. The record is from RNAcentral.
GACGAACGCUGGCGGCGUGCUUAACACAUGCAAGUCGAACGGAAAGGCCCUGCUUGCAGGGUACUCGAGUGGCGAACGGGUGAGUAACACGUGGGUGAUCUGCCCUGCACUUCGGGAUAAGCCUGGGAAACUGGGUCUCAUACCGGAUAGGAGCCAUUUUUAGUGUGAUGGUUGGAAAGUUUUUUCGGUGUAGGAUGAGCUCGCGGCCUAUCAGCUUGUUGGUGGGGUAAUGGCCUACCAAGGCGGCGACGGGUAGCCGGCCUGAGAGGGUGGACGGCCACACUGGGACUGGGAUACGGCCCAGACUCCUACGGGAGGCAGCAGUGGGGAAUAUUGCACUAUGGGCGCAAGCCUGAUGCAGCGACGCCGCGUGGGGGAUGACGGCCUUCGGGUUGUAAACUCCUUUCGCUAGGGACGAAGCGUUUUGUGACGGUACCUAGAUAAGAAGCACCGGCUAACUACGUG